UGGGGAAUAUUGCACAAUGGGGGAAACCCUGAUGCAGCGACGCCGCGUGAAGGAAGAAGUAUCUCGGUAUGUAAACUUCUAUCAGCAGGGAAGAAAAUGACGGUACCUGACUAAGAAGCCCCGGCUAACUACUUGCCAGCAGCCGCGGUAAUACGUAGGGGGCAAGCGUUAUCCGGAUUUACUGGGUGUAAAGGGAGCGUAGACGGAAGAGCAAGUCUGAUGUGAAAGGCUGGGGCUUAACCCCAGGACUGCAUUGGAAACUGUUUUUCUAGAGUGCCGGAGAGGUAAGCGGAAUUCCUAGUGUAGCGGUGAAAUGCGUAGAUAUUAGGAGGAACACCAGUGGCGAAGGCGGCUUACUGGACGGUAACUGACGUUGAGGCUCGAAAGCGUGGGGAGCAAACAGG
RNAcentral lists this ribosomal RNA (404 nucleotides) under Acidobacteriota bacterium. RNAcentral's name for it is "Acidobacteria bacterium partial 16S ribosomal RNA". It matches the Rfam family "Bacterial small subunit ribosomal RNA", at positions 355 to 776 of the family's 1533-position model. Lineage: Bacteria; Pseudomonadati; Acidobacteriota. The record is from RNAcentral.